GGAGGACGGGACGUUCGCUCGCCGGACGAACCUUUUGAAUUUUCUCAAGGUUGACCUCGGAUCAGGUAGGGAUACCUGUUGAACUUAAGCAUAUCAAUAAGCGGAGGAAAAGAAACCAACUGGGAUUGCCUUAGUAACGGCGAGUGAAGCGGCAAUAGCUUAAAUUUGAAAGCUGGCUCCUUCGGAGUCCGCGUUGUAAUUUGGAAAGAGAGUUAAAAAGUACGUGAAAUUGUUGAAAGGGAAGCGCUGGCAGCCAGAUUUGUCCGCAGUUGUUCAGCCGGUCUCUUGACGCGGCGUACUCUUCUGCGGCCAGGCCACCAUCAGUUCGGGCGGUCGGACAAAGGU
RNAcentral lists this ribosomal RNA (345 nucleotides) under fungal endophyte. RNAcentral's name for it is "eukaryotic LSU rRNA". The stretch from base 52 to 345 matches the Rfam family "Eukaryotic large subunit ribosomal RNA", at positions 1 to 526 of the family's 3401-position model. The record is from RNAcentral. Lineage: Eukaryota; Fungi.